RNAcentral lists this long non-coding RNA (1137 nucleotides) under Crocodylus porosus (Australian saltwater crocodile). Its description in RNAcentral is "lncRNA (ENSCPRG00005005733.1)". The record is from RNAcentral. Lineage: Eukaryota; Metazoa; Chordata; Crocodylia; Crocodylidae.
AGAGAACUGUGCUCGUCGUCCCAAAAUGGAAGAUAGUAAGAUGCUAUGGUUCAUUGUCUACGUCUUGUCGAGUCAAGAAAAGCUGGAUUAUCCAACACUUUGCAAGCACCAGUGGGCUGGACAGGAGCUUGGGGGGGGGGGGGCACAUAUCUUAUAAGCAAAUUAAAUCAUAUUUUAAAUCGUAUCUUUUAAGCAAAUCAUAUCUUUCAAGAAAAUUAAUUAUCAGAAGGAAAUCUGUUUUUAAUUUGUGUGUGUACAUUUGGAACUGGCUGUGCUGUAACAGAUAAACUCGCCAAAGUGUUUUGUGUACAAAUCAAUGGGACGCUAAUGGGGAUUCAGUGUACUGACUAAUCAGACCAUAGUGAGGAUGAGUUAUCCCAGUGCAUAAUUAAACAGAUUUCACUGUGUUUAAUUGGGGAGUGGAGGUAGGGUGGGUACUGGGAUAGUUUUUAGGACAGGAGAUCGCUCCCAUAAGCGCUUGUAUUCUGGGUGUAGCACUCGCAGAUAUCUUAAAUGCUUUGCCUUUACUGCGUCAAAAGAAAGCCAGGUGUAGAGGAGGAGACGGGAUCUGUUUUGAAGAGCUCAGAGGGAUCUGUUUUGAAGAGCUGGGCCAACAGGGACCUUUAGCAUUUAGUGUAAACUUUAAUAGAGUUGCAGCUGAUUGCAAGAGAAGUACUAUUUCUUUUCAUGGCCAGUUUCUACUUCUAAACUAGCUAAAUCAGAAAGGUCCACUUUUAGAAACAGAUUUUGCUCAUGCUUGCCUUGUUAGCGUUCUCUGAUGAAUCCUUACCAAACAUGGAAAUUAGUGCACUGUCCAGAUGAUCUUUUUUUUUUUUUAAAGCCUGCUGUUUCAAGUCCCUUUUGCCCUGACUUCUUCGAGUUUGAGAGUGCUGGUGCUCAUCCUUUGUGCUUGCUGUCUUGUGGCUGGAAGGUCUGGGUAGCUGCUACUGUUCCUUUUAUUAAUCAAACCCAUCGUUUCCACCACAAGAUUCAAUUGACCUAAUCUUUACAUACUGUACAACGGUGGUCAGCAGUUUUUUCCGGCAGUGGGCCCCAAUGGCCAAGAUUGUGUCUGAGGUGGGCUGGCAUUACUCACUGCACCCACUUCUCCCUGACACUCAGUCAGGCCAUGGCGUG